Molecule: ribosomal RNA, 34 nt
Filed under: Cladonia cariosa
Lineage: Eukaryota; Fungi; Ascomycota; Lecanoromycetes; Lecanorales; Cladoniaceae
Description: partial 28S ribosomal RNA
Source: RNAcentral
AGUAGGGAUACCCGCUGAACUUAAGCAUAUCAUA